GCCCGCUCAAGAAACUACAAAUAGAUUAGGACGGGGCCCGCACAAGCGGAGAGCAUGUGGUUUAAUUCGAUGAUACGCGAGGAACCUUACCUGGGCUCGAACGUAAGAUGACUGUAGGUGAAAGCUUACAUCUCUUCGGAGCAUUUUUACGAGGUGCUGCAUGGUUGUCGUCAGCUCGUGCCGUGAGGUGUCGGUUAAGUCCCAUAACGAGCGCAACCCUACCUUUAGUUGCCAUCAGGUAAUGCUGGGGACUCUAAAGGAACUGCCUACGCAAGUAGUGAGGAAGGCGGGGAUGACGUCAAAUCAGCACGGCCCUUACGUCCAGGGCUACACACGUGCUACAAUGGCCGAUACAGAGGGCAGCUACCUGGUGACAGGAUGCAAAUCUCCAAAGUCGGUCUCAGUUCGGAUCGGAGUCUGCAACCCGACUCCGUGAAGUUGGAUUCGCUAGUAAUCGCGCAUCAGCCAUGGCGCGGUGAAUACGUUCCCGGGCCUU
RNAcentral lists this ribosomal RNA (496 nucleotides) under uncultured Sphingobacteriales bacterium. RNAcentral's name for it is "bacterial SSU rRNA". It matches the Rfam family "Bacterial small subunit ribosomal RNA", at positions 916 to 1381 of the family's 1533-position model. The record is from RNAcentral. Lineage: Bacteria; Pseudomonadati; Bacteroidota; Sphingobacteriia; Sphingobacteriales.